AUACCAUGAUGAAGGCACUUUCAUAAUAAUUCCUUAAAUAGUUCUCAUGCCUCAUACAAGGACUCAUCAUCAAAUUGUUAAAAAGUAGUAAUUUCAUUUCUGAGCUU
Non-coding RNA from Gossypium hirsutum (cotton), 107 nucleotides. The record is from Rfam. Lineage: Eukaryota; Viridiplantae; Streptophyta; Magnoliopsida; Malvales; Malvaceae.